RNAcentral lists this transfer RNA (68 nucleotides) under Dalailama vadim. Its description in RNAcentral is "tRNA-Cys". The record is from RNAcentral. Lineage: Eukaryota; Metazoa; Arthropoda; Insecta; Lepidoptera; Endromidae.
AGCUUUAUAGUCAAAGUAAUAGGAUAUAAAAUUGCAAAUUUUAAGGUAUAUUUUAUAUAUUAAGGCUU